Molecule: long non-coding RNA, 2736 nt
Filed under: Piliocolobus tephrosceles (Ugandan red Colobus)
Lineage: Eukaryota; Metazoa; Chordata; Mammalia; Primates; Cercopithecidae
Description: lncRNA (ENSPTEG00000020766.1)
Source: RNAcentral
UUUUUUUUUUUUUUUUUUUUUUUUUUUUUCAUUUUUUAAUUAUCACUAUAUAACACCUUUACAUAACAACGUGUACCACAUUUUAAACAGUAGAGUUUAUUCUAUCUAUUCUUAUUUUUCUUUUAUCAAACAGUAUUAAAACUUUAUGUAUAGGCCAUGUGAUUGAUGUUUAUAUAACUGUGGCAUCUGUAUUAGGUAGUGAAGAACUUAAAACGACGGCACAGAAAAAUAUGUACAUUUCUGUACAUAUAUAUAUUUUCACUACAUAAGAAAGUUUUCUUUUUUUUUUAUGUAUACUUUUAAACAUAACUCGAUUGUAUAAUAAUAUAUAUUUACAUUUGUACUGUCAAAUAAAAACUGUUGUAAGAAAAAAAAAAAAAAAAAAAAAGUUAAAAAUAAAUGGAAAUAUCAUUGAUGAAACAUUUUAUUUUUCUUUUCCCCACCAAUGUACACAUAUAUAUAUGUACAUGUAAAUAGUGACAAGAACGUGAGAGCAUACAGCUUAUUGCGUAUACCCCUAUUAACUAAUGAAUGGUGUUUUGUUAGCACAUUUUUUUACUAUAUUUUUUUUAAACUGUAUUGUACAUUGUGAUGGUUAUAUUUUUAUUUUAUAGUGCAACAAAAAAAAAUAAGGCUAAUCAAACGACAAAGCAAAAAAAAAAAAAAAAAAAAUAAUUAAAUAAAAAUAAAAUAAAAUAAACAAUUUAGCCAUAAUUGAUUUAAAAAACGUAUAUAUAAAUUUAUAUAUAUAAAUGUAUAUAUGUAAAUGUAUAUACAUAAAUAUACAUAUGUAUAUACUUUAGUUUAUUUAAGUUUCUUAUGGUUUAUAAUAAAAAACCUUUAAACGCUGUUCUAUAAAGAAAAAAAAAAAAAAAAAAAAAAAAAAAAAAUGAAUAUGAGAUUAACUUUUCGAACAAUUUUUGAAACAAAAUGCAGAACAUCACUGAUGCCAAAAAGUGUGUCCUUUAACAUUUUGCAUAUAGGAAAGCAGAAUAUAACAUAUUAUCCAUGUAGAAGACAGGAAGGUCAUAAAAUUGAAUUAAUGCUAGGUAAACACAGACAAAGGAAAAUUAAUCCACCUGUUUAUCCUAUCCAUCCAAAUGAAGAAAAAAAAAAAAAUCUGAACAAUUUCAUAACAUAUAAAGAUUUAAAAAUAAGGUGGAAGAACACAUCCAAAAGAUACCGUAAAAAAGUAACCAUAGCUAGGAAAUGGAAAAACCUACAUUGUUUACUACCUUUUAAUAAGAACAGCUGUAUAUUUAUUUUGCAUAAAAAUUUACCAUUUACUCGUUUAAAAAACGAAAAAGAGUGGCAAUCUACAGAAAAAAUAAAAGAAGAAUUUGAAACGAAGCAAACAAAAGAAAAAAAUGAAAAAAAUGAAAAAAAUGAAAAUGACUCAAACGAAUUGAUACAUAUAGAAGCAAAAAAUAAAAUAAACGAAAAGUGUGUAUUAUUAGAAAAGAAGCAGGAUAUAAAUUAUAAUAAAAUUGUAUCUAUUGGUAGAAAAAAAAAAAAAAAAAAAAAUAAAUUUAUAGAAAAUAUGAAUGGAAUGAGUGAACAAGGCGUACCAAUAGAAAGUAUGUCAAGUGAUAAAAGUGUUAAUUAUUAUGAAACACCUCCGUCUAAUAUGCAACAUAUAAUUAAUAAAGAUAAAAAUAAUUUAUUUUGUAUUUUUAAAUCGAAUUUUAUAAAUGAGCAUAAAGUUACUAUAGGUGAUAUAGUACAAACAGAGAAACUACAUAGGAAAAAAGCAGGGGAUGUUAUUUAUUUUGGUACAGUAUUGUUAGCUGGGUCAAAAAAUUUUACAAUUGUAGGUAAGCCUACUAUUCCUUAUUGUAAAGUUAAAGCAACUAUUGAACAAAUAACUUUAAGUAAAGAAAUAUUAAGUUUUCGUUAUAAAAAAGUUAGAAGGUCUAGUAGGUUUUUAAGAAUAAGACAUUGGAUUACUAUUUUAAAAAUAGAUGAUAUUAUUAUUAAUACAGAACAGAAGGAAACCAAUUAUUACAAUAAUAAUAAUAACAAUAUAAAUAAUGAAAUUACAAAGAAACCUUUACAAAUUUUGGAUUUAUGGGCUAACAGAUGGUUAUAUCAGAAAGAAUUAAAUUUUAUUAAAUUUGAUAAAAAUAAUAAUCCAAUGGCUGAACAAAUUUAUAAUCUUUUAGAACAUCAACCAAAUACAUUACACAGGAGAGGUCUUACAGACUGUUAUCGAUUUUACCCGGAUCCUCAAAUUCCUAACACGUAUUAACAUCUUUAUGUUUGUCCACUAUUGAAAUUGUCAAUAUAUCAUUUAUUUAUAUUUAAUUUAUAUACUUUAAUUUAUAUACUUUAAUUUAUAUACUUUAAUUUAUAUACUUUAAUUUAUAUACUUUAAUUUAUAUACUUUAAUUUAUAUACUUUAAUUUAUAUACUUUAAUUUAUGUACUUUAAUUUAUAUACUUUAAUUUAUAUACUUUAAUUUAUGUACUUUAAUUUAUAUACUUUAAUUUAUAUACUUUAAUUUAUAUACUUUAAUGUUUUUGUUUUUAUUUUCCGUAUAUCCGAACUUUAUAUUUUAUUUUUUAUUUUUUUUCGCAAUCCUUUAUAAAGUCUCGCUUGUUUGCUUGUUUCUUCGCUCACUUUUUUUUUUUUCUUUUUUCUAUAUUUGUUUUAAAAUAAGGUUAGCAAGUGAAUGUGUCAACAAAAAUUGUCAUAAUUUAUAAUAAAUUAGAAAAAUGUAAAAGCUUAUUUUCUUAU